GUGCACCGUUUGAUCAUUUCCAUGUCACGUCUGGUCUGAAGCCAUCCCACCCAUUGUUUCUUCAUCCAAUCAGAGAGUAAACUGAGUCGAUGAGGCGCAGCCAAAAUCAGACGGGAGGAGGCCAGUCAGACCCCGAACUGACAUUAACGCCAGCUGAGGAGCGAGUGGCCGCACUUAUCGGGUCUCCCUCAGUUUGUGGCAUUCGUGGUGGGGGAGACACUGAUGAUCCUGAGUCCAAGCAGGCAAAUGAUCAGUCAGAACCAAGCGCCAGUGCUCACGGUUCCACAGAGCAGUGUCCACACAGCCCCGUCCUGGUCCACCACCACGGGCCUCUGUACUAACGGCUGAAGUCCAGGGGCCUGUUUCACAAAAGCAG
This is a long non-coding RNA of Perca fluviatilis (European perch), 376 nucleotides long. RefSeq lists it as uncharacterized. The transcript has 3 exons. The record is from RefSeq and is a predicted model, not a curated record. Lineage: Eukaryota; Metazoa; Chordata; Actinopteri; Perciformes; Percidae.